RNAcentral lists this long non-coding RNA (697 nucleotides) under Trifolium pratense (red clover). RNAcentral describes it as "long non-coding RNA (TPRA_LNC006362)". The record is from RNAcentral. Lineage: Eukaryota; Viridiplantae; Streptophyta; Magnoliopsida; Fabales; Fabaceae.
ACAAUGAUAAUAGAUACAAUGACAAUAGAUUAACGACAAACAUAUGCCACUUUCACUUGUUUGAACGAACAACAUGAUCCAAAAUUCCAAAGCAACAAGUCUUCAUAUCCCACCAGAUAUAUCCAACUUAAGAUCCAACACAACUACAUUUUUAUUCAAACAAUGAACCUCAUAUUCAUAAAGAAACUCAAACGGUGCAAAGACGACCAAAAGAAAUAUCGACCAGAUUUUUAUUUAUCCAAACAUGUCACUUAAUAAUCCAUUGCAACACAGGAACAAAGAGGUGAUUGAAAAAUUGAACAAAUCCGUAACACAAGAAGUAAGCCAAUUGAUUGAGAAAGGAAACAAACCAUAGCCGAGCGACACAAGAUCAAAUCACCGAACUUCAAGCACCAGAGGCACCAAACUUCAAAGAAUAAACCAACGACAACAUAAAGACAAACAAACACAUUCCCAAAUUUUUGGGAAUUCGGCAGCGGAAACAACUAGUGCGGUUCAAGGCGGAUCAAACCAUGCUCUAGAUACCAUGUUAGAAUCAAAUAUACAAAAUAAGACAAUAACAAAGAGACGGCUAGGGUUUCAUAAAAUUACAUUAUAAUGGCUUAGAAUACAAUGAGUUGUCUUAUGAAUAUAUAGAAAACAUAAAUAGACUAAAUUACUAUUAUGCCUAAAGCCCAAUUACAACCACAAGCCCAUU